RNAcentral lists this ribosomal RNA (241 nucleotides) under uncultured bacterium. RNAcentral's name for it is "partial 16S ribosomal RNA". It matches the Rfam family "Bacterial small subunit ribosomal RNA", at positions 63 to 334 of the family's 1533-position model. The record is from RNAcentral.
CGAGCGCCCCGCAAGGGGAGCGGCGGACGGGUUAGUAACGCGUGGGAAUGUACCCUUUUCUACGGAAUAGCCUCGGGAAACUGAGAUUAAUACCGUAUACGCCCUUCGGGGGAAAGAUUUAUCGGAGAAGGAUCAGCCCGCGUAAGAUUAGAUAGUUGGUGGGGUAAUGGCCUACCAAGUCUACGAUCUUUAGCUGGUUUGAGAGGAUGAUCAGCAACACUGGGACUAAGACACGGCCCAG